This 353-nucleotide unclassified non-coding RNA is filed under the name soil metagenome. RNAcentral's name for it is "partial contains 5.8S ribosomal RNA, internal transcribed spacer 2, and large subunit ribosomal RNA". The stretch from base 1 to 120 matches the Rfam family "5.8S ribosomal RNA", at positions 35 to 154 of the family's 154-position model. The record is from RNAcentral.
GAUGAAGAACGCAGCGAAAUGCGAUAAGUAAUGUGAAUUGCAGAAUUCAGUGAAUCAUCGAAUCUUUGAACGCACAUUGCGCCCGCCAGUAUUCUGGCGGGCAUGCCUGUUCGAGCGUCAUUACAACCCUCAGGCCCCCGGGCCUGGCGUUGGGGAUCGGCGGAAGCCCCCUGCGGGCACAACGCCGUCCCCCAAAUACAGUGGCGGUCCCGCCGCAGCUUCCAUUGCGUAGUAGCUAACACCUCGCAACUGGANNNNNGCGCGGCCACGCCGUAAAACACCCAACUUCUGAAUGUUGACCUCGAAUCAGGUAGGAAUACCCGCUGAACUUAAGCAUAUCAAUAAGCGGAGGA